Molecule: transfer RNA, 85 nt
Filed under: Felis catus (domestic cat)
Lineage: Eukaryota; Metazoa; Chordata; Mammalia; Carnivora; Felidae
Also listed under: 1 other name
Rfam family: tRNA
About the family: Transfer RNA (tRNA) molecules are approximately 80 nucleotides in length. Their secondary structure includes four short double-helical elements and three loops (D, anti-codon, and T loops). Further hydrogen bonds mediate the characteristic L-shaped molecular structure. tRNAs have two regions of fundamental functional importance: the anti-codon, which is responsible for specific mRNA codon recognition, and the 3' end, to which the tRNAs corresponding amino acid is attached (by aminoacyl-tRNA synthetases). tRNAs cope with the degeneracy of the genetic code in two manners: having more than one tRNA (with a specific anti-codon) for a particular amino acid; and 'wobble' base-pairing, i.e. permitting non-standard base-pairing at the 3rd anti-codon position.
Source: Rfam by way of RNAcentral
GCCUGGGUGGCUCAGUCGGUUGAGCAUCCGACUUCGGCUCAGGUCAUGAUCUUACAGUUUGUGGGUUCGAGCCCCGUGUCGGGCU